UGGGGAAUUUUGGACAAUGGGCGCAAGCCUGAUCCAGCAAUGCCGCGUGCAGGAUGAAGGCCUUCGGGUUGUAAACUGCUUUUGUCAGGGAAGAAACGAGUUUCUCUAAUACAGAGACUUAAUGACGGUACCUGAAGAAUAAGCACCGGCUAACUACGUGCCAGCAGCCGCGGUAAUACGUAGGGUGCAAGCGUUAAUCGGAAUUACUGGGCGUAAAGCGUGCGCAGGCGGUUAUAUAAGACAGAUGUGAAAUCCCCGGGCUCAACCUGGGAACUGCAUUUGUGACUGUAUAGCUAGAGUACGGCAGAGGGGGAUGGAAUUCCGCGUGUAGCAGUGAAAUGCGUAGAUAUGCGGAGAAACACCGAUGGCGAAGGCAAUCCCCUGGGCCUGUACUGACGCUCAUGCACGAAAGCGUGGGGAGCAAACA
This 427-nucleotide ribosomal RNA is filed under the name uncultured bacterium. RNAcentral describes it as "bacterial SSU rRNA". It matches the Rfam family "Bacterial small subunit ribosomal RNA", at positions 355 to 774 of the family's 1533-position model. The record is from RNAcentral.